UUCUACAUCUGCUCAAAGUAGGACCCUGAUCGCUACAGCUGCUGACCGUCAGCAUCUUCUCGGGCAACUCAUAUAGAAAAAUGAACCUCCUGUUGUGUAGACUACUCCUUGAAGAUCACCAGCAAGUCUGUUUAAAUGAAUCCACGUUCCCAAAGGGUUAAUGAGGAUCUACACACACUACUGGAGAAGACAGUUACGACUCUGCCUAGUACCCCACUUCUUCGGCUGUUGUGAAGAGAAUGUCACACACACAGAUCAUUUCCCUCAACAACACAAACGCUGGAUGGAGUAACAACACUGGGUGCUUUUGUAAACCAAUCUCAUUUCAACACACUAGAAAGGGCCGACCUACCUACAGCCUGCUGUACCAGCCGAAGACCUGCCAACUGCCCAGCCAGGCCUC
Molecule: non-coding RNA, 403 nt
Organism: Peromyscus maniculatus bairdii (prairie deer mouse)
Lineage: Eukaryota; Metazoa; Chordata; Mammalia; Rodentia; Cricetidae
Source: RefSeq, a predicted model, not a curated record